This is a non-coding RNA of Musa acuminata subsp. malaccensis (wild Malaysian banana), 591 nucleotides long. The record is from RefSeq and is a predicted model, not a curated record. NCBI's taxonomy places the organism in Eukaryota, Viridiplantae, Streptophyta, Magnoliopsida, Zingiberales, Musaceae.
CCAGCUCGCAGUAAGAACCUUCAUACCUCUGUCUGAAGCUUCCUCUCUUGUGUUGAGUAGCCAAAGAAAGGAUGAAGUUGGUGGGGAUUCUCUUGCUUGGAGUUCUAGUGAUGAACUCAUGCUCAGUGAUGCCAAGGAAGGUGUUGUUCGAAGACGACAUCCAUGGAGGAGGCCAAGCUGAUGAGGGAGAGCAAGGAGUGGAAAGGUUUGGCUAUUCUGAUGCCGACACCAAUAACCAUCACGCCAUACCCAGAGAUCAGUACAACAACUGGGUGAAUAGUCCAGGAUACAUGCCGGGAGAUGGCGGAAAUGUCAGUGGCACAGGAUGAAGCCAUGGUUCCUGAAAGUACGGUUGGAGUAAAGCAGCAUGUGAGAUGCCAUACGUGCUAAGAGUACAUGAAUAGGUUACAGGUGCGUAGACCACGCAUGGAUGUCAACCCCUGCUCUGUGAACCUUACUCCCUUCUGUAAUAUAAGAAGAGUCUCUCUCUCUCUCUCUCUCUCUCUCUCUCUCUCUCUCUCUACACAUACACACGGAGGUCAAGGUUUGUAGAAAGAAGUUAAUAAUACGAAGGAAAAGAAGUUGAUACUA